AACGGCCGUACCAUGCUGAAUAUACCGGUUCUCGUUAGAUCACCGAAGUUAAGCAUCAUUGGGCGCGGUCAGUACUUGGGUGGGUGACCACCUUGAAACACUGCGUGCCGUU
RNAcentral lists this ribosomal RNA (112 nucleotides) under Caerostris darwini. Lineage: Eukaryota; Metazoa; Arthropoda; Arachnida; Araneae; Araneidae. The record is from RNAcentral.